Molecule: ribosomal RNA, 252 nt
Filed under: uncultured prokaryote
Description: partial 16S ribosomal RNA
Rfam family: Bacterial small subunit ribosomal RNA
Source: RNAcentral
ACGGAGGGGGCUAGUGUUACUCAACUUGACUGGGCGUAAAGGGCGUGAAGGUGGUAUAACGCGCUUUUUUGUAAAUGCUCAAGCACAAUUUGAGAAGCUUAAAAAUACGGUUAUGCUUGAGUUUAUUUGAAGAAGGUUGUACUUCUAGUGUAGAGGUGAAAUUUGCAAAAAUUAGAAGGACAGUCUACGGGCGAAAGCGACCUACUACUAUAAACUGACACUAUAGCGCAAAAGCAUAGGUAGCAAACGGGA